Molecule: ribosomal RNA, 456 nt
Filed under: uncultured bacterium
Lineage: Bacteria
Description: bacterial SSU rRNA
Rfam family: Bacterial small subunit ribosomal RNA
Source: RNAcentral
UACGGAAGGCAGCAGUGGGGAAUAUUGCACAAUGGGCGCAAGCCUGAUGCAGCCAUGCCGCAUGUAUGAAAAAGGCCUUCGGGUUGUAAAGUACUUUCAGUCGUGAGGAAGGUGUUAAGGUUAAUAACCUUAGCAAUUGACGUUAGCGACAGAAGAAGCACCGGCUAACUCCGUGCCAGCAGCCGCGGUAAUACGGAGGGUGCGAGCGUUAAUCGGAAUUACUGGGCGUAAAGGGCACGCAGGCGGUUAAUUAAGUUGGAUGUGAAAUCCCCGGGCUUAACCUGGGAAUGGCAUUCAAGACUGGUUAGCUAGAGUCUUGUAGAGGGGGGUAGAAUUCCAUGUGUAGCGGUGAAAUGCGUAGAGAUGUGGAGGAAUACCGGUGGCGAAGGCGGCCCCUGGGACAAAGGACUGACGCUCAUGUGCGAAAGCGUGGGGAGCAAACGAGGAUUAGAUACC